This 72-nucleotide transfer RNA is filed under the name Ligilactobacillus salivarius. RNAcentral describes it as "tRNA-Asp". It matches the Rfam family "tRNA". From Rfam's summary of the family: Transfer RNA (tRNA) molecules are approximately 80 nucleotides in length. Their secondary structure includes four short double-helical elements and three loops (D, anti-codon, and T loops). Further hydrogen bonds mediate the characteristic L-shaped molecular structure. tRNAs have two regions of fundamental functional importance: the anti-codon, which is responsible for specific mRNA codon recognition, and the 3' end, to which the tRNAs corresponding amino acid is attached (by aminoacyl-tRNA synthetases). tRNAs cope with the degeneracy of the genetic code in two manners: having more than one tRNA (with a specific anti-codon) for a particular amino acid; and 'wobble' base-pairing, i.e. permitting non-standard base-pairing at the 3rd anti-codon position. The record is from RNAcentral. Lineage: Bacteria; Bacillati; Bacillota; Bacilli; Lactobacillales; Lactobacillaceae.
GGUCCUAUGUGUAGGGGUUAUCACGCCUGCCUGUCACGCAGGAGAUCGCCGGUUCAAAUCCGGCUAGGACCG